UACGAAGGGGGCUAGCGUUGCUCGGAAUCACUGGGCGUAAAGCGCACGUAGGCGGCUUUUUAAGUCAGGGGUGAAAUCCUGGAGCUCAACUCCAGAACUGCCUUUGAUACUGAGAAGCUUGAGUCCGGGAGAGGUGAGUGGAACUGCGAGUGUAGAGGUGAAAUUCGUAGAUAUUCGGAGGAACACCAGAAGCGAAGGCGGCCAACUGGCCCGAUACUGACGCUGAGGCGCGAAAGCGUGGGGAGCAAACAGG
RNAcentral lists this ribosomal RNA (253 nucleotides) under uncultured bacterium. RNAcentral's name for it is "partial 16S ribosomal RNA". It matches the Rfam family "Bacterial small subunit ribosomal RNA", at positions 524 to 776 of the family's 1533-position model. The record is from RNAcentral.